This is a long non-coding RNA of Puntigrus tetrazona (Sumatra barb), 1358 nucleotides long. RefSeq lists it as uncharacterized. NCBI's taxonomy places the organism in Eukaryota, Metazoa, Chordata, Actinopteri, Cypriniformes, Cyprinidae. The record is from RefSeq and is a predicted model, not a curated record. The transcript is spliced from 2 exons.
GCCUGAAAUGACACAUGCUUACAUCAUCACACGGCAGUCAGACACGACGAGCGGCAGCAGCUCGCUGGCGAGGGGGAGGAUGCGCUUCACACAACGUGAGACGCAUUCAUAACCUAUCAGCAUCUCAGCUCUGUCCCCGAGCAGGAAUUACUGCACACAAAUCCACUUAAGAGCCAUUAGGUGAAAGUUGUUUCUAAGCCCAACGGAAAAAGCAAUAAACCUGAAUCAACCCAAACUCAAGCUUUUAAAAAUGCAUCCAAUAUACAAGCAUUUACAAACACAUCUGUGUUUUGGAGUUCAUAAGAUCUGAAAUGAGGGGGUUCGUUGAAUUUUAUUCAGUUAGAUGUGAAUAUGAUCAAAUUCCUGCAUGCUGUGAUAUUUCCGUCUCUCUUCAUCCGAGACAAAGCCUUCAGACGGGACGCUGUCGUCUUCUACAGGCGGAUGCUGCUGCCAUCCAGCUAGAGGCUGUGGAAUAGCAUGCGUCCGAGAUCAGCGAGAGACGGGACUGUGCAACCUGCUUCGCUUUCAUCCCUGAGCUCCGUGUGUGUGACCGAGACGAAGGAAGAAAGGAAAAGCACAGCUCAUUCCUUCCAAACCAGCAAAACCUGCAUCCUCAGACAGCAGCGUAUGAAGCUCUCGUGUGUGUGUGUGUGUGUGUGUGUGUGUGUGUGUCGCUGCCGGCUCGAGCACUGUCUGCCCGAGUCAAACACACACACACUGCCCGCUUUCUGAGAGCUGCACUGCAUGUCAGUCCCGUCCACCCAUAUCUGCUCUUCUGAGGGAUCGUCUGGAGCACCUCGCAUGCUUUUUGUCUUCUGCAGAGGGAUCGGGAGCGUGAUGGAGUUACGUCAGUGAUUUCAUUUGCUCCGGGACGUUGAGACUGUGAAAAUAAAGGCGGAUGAAUGUGGACUGGGCACUCGUGCGUUUCGAUGGGAUGAGAUUUGGAGGGAAAUACACUUCUGAGUGUGUUUGCGGGAAGAGGAUAAACAUUCAGCCGGUCUGAUGCAGUCAGGUCAUGUCAAAGGAGAAAAGAUGUGUAAAUGCGUUCCUUCGAUCGCUUCACCAGCUUUCCUCCAACUUUUCAGCAGCUGUGGAUGAGCGCUCAGAUCCGGAGGUCUGCCGGCCGGGCAUCAGAAGGAAACCGCCCAGGAGAGCUUUAGUCCGAGUUAUAGCGCAUGUUUCAUUGGGAUAUCUGACAGAGUUUAGUGAAAUUAUUUGUUUGCACAUAAUGGAAAAAAUCCACUGAAUAAAAACACAAUUAAUUAGAACUUAUACGUCUUGGUGCAAUAAUUAGUUAAACACUUUUUAAGACAUUGUUUACUGUGGAUGAACUGAAUAAAUUGGUGUUUGUAGCAUUA